Molecule: long non-coding RNA, 1243 nt
Organism: Xenia sp. Carnegie-2017
Lineage: Eukaryota; Metazoa; Cnidaria; Anthozoa; Malacalcyonacea; Xeniidae
Exons: 2
Source: RefSeq, a predicted model, not a curated record
UGCUAGGGCGUGUUUUCGGUCAUUUGCAACUGCACAGACUUAAAGGAAGAAGGGGAAAUACUUUGCCAGGUGUCCGUGGAGAGGUAGUCUGUUGCAUCAACUAUCGAACAACACUGUUAAAUUCACGUCAAGAAGUCUGAAUUUUUAUCAUUUGAAUUAUACUUGCAAUUCGAUUGAAAUGAAUUUGAACCGCUAUCUUGCUGGAGUUUGCUGACCCAUGCCGAGGGAAGAUGCGUUAAUGUUCGAAGCAUGCAUGGUUUAAAUGAGGUCCAUACGAGGAACGUUUUUCAUAAUGUCGUCGAGAGAAAUGUUUGUUAUGCUGGAUGGUACUAAAGAUGUGUUUUGAUUUGUUCGAAGACAAGAAAAGCUAUAUGCAAAAAGUUAAGGUGAUUAUGAAAAAAUUGUGAGGACAAAGCCAGAUAUUGUUGAAAAGAUAAAAUUGGAUGAAUGUUAUUGUAUGUUGUUGUAGCUAUAGACUUGUUCAACAUAAAACUGUUAACAAGGCGACGGAUUAAAUAUUUAUUGUCGUUACGUUUUGUGUUGGGAAAUUAUGUUCAUAUCAGGAAAUGGUAAUUUCGUCAAAUAAUUAUGGUGGCGAUCAUUAAUGCGUUAGAAAAACAAGAUACGUACGUGAUCAGUUCUGAGUUUUCGACAUUCUUUAAAUAAAUAUAUUUCGUCCUGCUAUGUACAAAUUUUCUUGCGUUCGCUAAUCGUGAAAAAAAUACGAUUCUAAAGAAACUAAGAAUGAUAAUCUUUUGGAAUUUGCUUCAUACGUGCAAGCCGUGUAAAGCCACAAAUGAAAAGUAUGAUCACAAGCUGGGUUCGAGUUGGUAGGGUAAUAUGAAUAAGCUGUGUAGAACUAAGUAUCUAUCAACAGUAAUGUAGAGAAAAGCAGCGAGUGGACAAGGGCAGUGGAAGAUCGACAAUUGGAAGGGGGGGUGUAAUAUUUAUACAUGUAUGCUCUACUGUGUUAGUUUCUAUUGAAAUAAAUUGUUAUUACGUAUUAUAUAAUAUGAAUAUAUGAAUAUGUCCCCCUCCUUAUCAUCAAUCUUCCUCUGCCCUUAUGAAUUGAAGGUAUUGAUGUAGUUCGAAGAAGUUUUUGUGUUGUAAAGUUAUCGAGAAAGCGUCUUUAGAACAAAUCACUUUUUUAAGUAUUGCUAGCUAAAACUGAGCCCAUUAUUUUGACUAUUGAUAAUUUUAACAACACACGUCAAGUAAUAAAGGAUUUUUUAUUUGAGACUAA